RNAcentral lists this ribosomal RNA (460 nucleotides) under uncultured bacterium. Its description in RNAcentral is "partial 16S ribosomal RNA". It matches the Rfam family "Bacterial small subunit ribosomal RNA", at positions 338 to 795 of the family's 1533-position model. The record is from RNAcentral.
CCUACGGGAGGUAGCAGUGAGGAAUAUUGGUCAAUGGUCGGGAGACUGAACCAGCCAAGCCGCGUGAGGGAGGAAGGUACAGAGUAUCGUAAACCUCUUUUGUCAGGGAACAAAGGCGGGGACGUGUCCCCGGAUGAGUGUACCCGAAGAAAAAGCAUCGGCUAACUCCGUGCCAGCAGCCGCGGUAAUACGGAGGAUGCGAGCGUUAUCCGGAUUUAUUGGGGUUAAAGGGUGGGCAGGCGGGCCGGUAAGUCAGGGGUGAAACCCCCGGGCCUCACCCCGGGCCGGCGGUUGAAACUGGCAGUCUCGAGUUGGAGAGAGGUAUGCGGAAUGCGCGGUGUAGCGGUGAAAUGCAUAGAUAUCGCGCAGAACUCCGAUUGCGAAGGCAGCAUGCCGGCUCCACACUGACGCUGAGGCACGAAAGCGUGGGUAUCGAACAGGAUUAGAUACCCGGGUAGUC